RNAcentral lists this ribosomal RNA (766 nucleotides) under Sticholotidinae sp. 27949. RNAcentral describes it as "partial 28S ribosomal RNA". It matches the Rfam family "Eukaryotic large subunit ribosomal RNA", at positions 406 to 944 of the family's 3401-position model. The record is from RNAcentral. Lineage: Eukaryota; Metazoa; Arthropoda; Insecta; Coleoptera; Coccinellidae. RNAcentral also lists the same sequence under 2 other names.
CGUUCAGGGGUAAACCUGAGAAACCCGAAAGGUCGAACGGAGAGAUUCAUUCGCGGUACGGGCGGUGAUCUAGAGCGUCGGGAUGACGCGUCGCUCCUAGCGAGCGAUGCGCCCCUUCGUCUCGGAUCAGUCGUCGAACGCGUGCACUUCUCUCCUAGUAGGACGUCGCGAUCCGUUGAGUGCCGGUCGAAGGGUCCGCGAGGAAGCCCGCGAACGCGAUGCAAAUCGUCGUUUGCGGACCUGCGGUCUCCUGUCCGGCCGCUCGACGGUGUACAGACGGUGAGAGACCGCGAUUUUCGCGCCCGGUCGGUCGCAAACGCGCUUUAUGCGUCGGCUUUCGGUAUUACCGUUUGUGCCGGCCUCUAGCGGUUGUUGGCGAUCGUAUUCUCGGGCAGAUCUCUUUUUAACCGAUCUGCGACGCUACAGCUUUGGGUACUCUCAGGGCCCGUCUUGAAACACGGACCAAGGAGUCCAGUGUGUACGCGAGUCAUUGGGUCCGAUUAAACCUAAAGGCGUAAUGAAAGUAAAGAUCCGUCAGGAUCCAGGGAAGAUGACCGACCUUGACGGUCGGUCCGCACUCCCGGGGUGUCUCUAUCUUUUAUUAGAUGAGGCGCACCACGAGCGUACACGCUGGGACCCGAAAGAUGGUGAACUAUGCCCGGUCAGGACGAAGUCAGGGGAAACCCUGAUGGAGGUCCGUAGCGGUUCUGACGUGCAAAUCGAUCGUCUGAACUGGGUAUAGGGGCGAAAGACUAAUCGAACCAUC